Molecule: ribosomal RNA, 301 nt
Filed under: uncultured bacterium
Lineage: Bacteria
Description: partial 16S ribosomal RNA
Rfam family: Bacterial small subunit ribosomal RNA
Source: RNAcentral
CAGCAGCCACGGGAAUACGUAGGGGGCAAGCGUUAUCCGGAAUAACUGGGCGUAAAGGGUGCGCAGGUGGUUUAACAAGUUAGUGGUGAAAGGCAUAGGCUCAACCAAUGUAAGCCAUUAAAACUGUUUAACUUGAGUGCAGGAGGGGAAAGUGGAAUUCCUAGUGUAGCGGUGAAAUGCGUAGAUAUUAGGAGGAAUACCAGUGGCGAAGGCGACUCUCUGGUCUGUAACUGACGCUGAGGAGCGAAAGCGUGGGGAGCGAACAGGAUUAGAUACCCGCGUAGUCCCUGUCUCUUAUACA